UACAGAGGUGCCAAGCGUUGUUCGGAUUUAUUGGGCGUAAAGGGUGCGUAGGCGGUUGUGUAAGUCGGGUGUGAAAUUUCGGAGCCUAACUCCGAAACUGCAUUCGAAACUGCACAGCUCGAGGUCUGGAGAGGUGAUUGGAAUUCUAGGUGUAGCAGUGAAAUGCGUAGAUAUCUAGAGGAACACCAGAGGCGAAAGCGAAUCACUGGACAGAACCUGACGCUGAGGCACGAAAGCUAGGGGAGCAAACGGG
Molecule: ribosomal RNA, 253 nt
Filed under: uncultured bacterium
Lineage: Bacteria
Also listed under: 1 other name
Description: partial 16S ribosomal RNA
Rfam family: Bacterial small subunit ribosomal RNA
Source: RNAcentral